RNAcentral lists this long non-coding RNA (3107 nucleotides) under Lactuca sativa (garden lettuce). Its description in RNAcentral is "long non-coding RNA (LSAT_LNC010102)". The record is from RNAcentral. Lineage: Eukaryota; Viridiplantae; Streptophyta; Magnoliopsida; Asterales; Asteraceae.
GAAACACCUCUUGAAGGUGUCGCUCCUGAGCCCUCUGACGGGCUCGAAGUUCCAAGACUUCAGCUCGUGAGGCAGCCAGCUGUUGCUGCAGGGUUUCAUUGGUUCUCCGGGUCCGUUCCAUGUCUUCUUCAAGACGGCGGAUGCGGACUGUGUUGACACCUGAGUUGGCAUCAAUCUCCAUGACCCGGUCGAUGGCUGCUCGACCUUGCUCGACAUUACGAGCUAUUCUGCGGAUAAUGACAGGCAGAGCUCGGUCAGCAGAGCCACCAUCGCUGACGUUGUAAAAGCUUCGGUCCCCAAAGUAUGGUAAGGGUUGACCCUGUUCAUCACUCCAGCGAUUCAAGUUGUUUGCCCACAAGGGAGUAGGACCUGGAAAAGCUGGUCGAGGGUUGUUGUUCGGGGCUUGACCUACUAGCGGUAGGUUGUUGACUUCAGGCUCGGAGUCGGAUCCAUCAGAAAAGCCUUCUGCGAGGUGAUCAUCCAAAGGGAUUGGAUGCUCAUCUUCGGGCUCUUCUUCGAUCCACCCGGCAUUGCCUUCAUUUGGAAAGUACGGGUCGCCGUGAUGGAAUCCAGCCAUUUAAAUCUACGCGAGAAGAGAGGUAUAAGAAUAUAGUAUACAUGUAACUAGUAGUACAAAAUACACCUAUAGUAUUUUAAGUUUAAGUUCUACUGAUCUUCUUGUGGUAUUGUUGGUAAGUUUUUAGACUUGUUAACAUAUCACAACCAUUCUAGGGCAUAUGCUAAUCACUCCUAGGACCAGCAUAGUUGAUCAGGCUAUGCCAUUCCCAGGACUGACCAUACAUCCCCGAGCUCACUUGUGAUAUUUAACAAUCGUAAUACUUUUGUUCUUGUCAUUGUGACACUGAUUUUAGUAUGAACGCAGACUUGUAUACUUAAUUAAAUAUUUUAAUAUUUAAAGUAUAGACUCUUGGUCAGAGUUCUUUAAUCCCUAAUGGGUUUAUAGUUUAGUAUAUCUUUUAUGGGUUGAUAUACUUGAUUCACUAUAAACAAUGCUCUGAUAGCAAUCUGUCACACCCCAAAACCAAGAACGGCGGAAACGUUCUGGGGCGGAGGACGUCAUGUAAAGUAUCACAACACAGUAAAUGUAAAUAAGCAAACAACAUCAUCCAUUGCAUUAAAUAUAUAAUUUUAAUACAAGCGUGUUCUGUACAGUUAUAGACACCAAAAUAAUGUAAAUCAAAAUAAUAAGAUGAGUCUUGGAUGUGCUCCAUCUGCUCAAAAGCUGGCCUCGGUACUUGUCUACUGAUGACCUGAUAAUACAAGUUAUUUUGAAAGAGUUUAUCAGCAUUAAGCUGGUGAGUUCAUAAGUAUUUUAGUGUCGGUGUUUGUCAUCAAAAACGUUUGAACCUGUCUCAAGUAUAAGUUGUAAAAUGUAAGCAAUUGUUUGUAAGUGUUUGUAAAAGUUUGAAUUUCUCAGAAAAACCUAUAUUUUCUAUUAAAGUAGCCUUCUACCAAGGCUUAACUGUUUUGUAUGCUCGUUUGUUGUAAAAGUGUGUAAUUUCCCAAGUGUAACUAUCAUUUAACAAAAAUAGUUUGUACAUUAAUGUUUAAGUGAGGUUAUCACUAAAAAUAUGUAAUGGGUAAAUCAUUGUAGUACUGUAGUUUUGUAUUAUAGGAACUACUGUUGUACUAACUACCUUAAACCGGAUUUAUAUUAAGGUAUAAUGUGAUAAUUGCACCAUACUAUCGACUGGUAACAACGACAUAAGAAUGGUCGUAAUAACGGAAUGACGUUUGGCACCCGCAGACCUGCAGGUCCGGCUGUAGCUAGCAGCAAGGUGUAGGAUAGUCAAUCCAGUAUAGAUCUAUACGCAAACUCACGCUCUCCCUCCAAGAGAAUUCUGGCUACAACUCGGGCCAUGACAUUUAAGGCAUGCUCCGACACAGUGGAUCACAAUUGUUAACGUAUUCUUGUAUAUGUAAUAUAAUGUUUCUCGUUCUAGUAUAGUUGUAUAUGUUCUCCUCCUAGUAUAGUUGUAUAUGUUCCCUUUCUAGUAUAGUUGUAUAUGUUCUCCUUCUAGUAUAGUUGUAUAUGUUCUCUUUCUAGUAUAGUUGUAUAUGUUGUCUUUCUAGUAUAGUUGUAUAUGUUCUCAUAGUAACGUAAUGUAUAGACUCAUGAAUGAACUGACUCAUUGAUCUAGAAGUUGUAAUAGUAUGAUCCUGUGUUACCCCGAUGGUAACUCACUAAUGAUGUGUCUAGUACGCAUGAAUAUGGAAGUACUUUUAUGUCUAUAUAGGUAUAUUUGAUAUAUAAUUAAUAUUGAAACGACCUUCGGAUGGUCACCCGAAAUCCCACCAGACCACAUCCAAAUCGAGAAAAAGGAAAUAGGGCGGAUGGCCUUCCUAAGCCCUUUAAACAUUGNCUAUAAGUUUAUAAAGAUUAGAAAAAUGGUAAGAAUCAAUUUGUAGGCAACGUGAGAGUGACACAUGGACUAACUAACCAUAGCCCAACAGUUGAAUGAGUGUUUGAGAGUACAACAAGGAAUAUUAGUAGGAAAACACAAAUAUACAGAUUUUUCCCACAAAUUAGAUAGAUGUUAGUAACACUGGUAUUACUGAUGUAAUUAAGUUCAGGGAAAAUCGACCUAACAGUAGGUGUUACAUCAUACCAUAUAGAAAAGUUUGACAGUUCUUAGAUUCCUAAUUAGAGUACUGAAAGUUAGGAAUAUUUUACAGACAAGUGCUACUUAGAGCACAGAUGUUAAAGGCUAUUCCUUAACCAAUAGACAGAGAUGUACUAGACAUCAUCUAACGGCGAUGGGAAUUUCUCGGGCGAGCCCUGAGGUCUGACACUUGACGAAACACCUCUUGAAGGUGUCGUUCCUGAGCCCUCUGACGGGCUUGAAGUUCCAAGACUUCAGCUCGGGAGGCAGCCAGCUGUUGUUGCAGGGUUUCAUUGGUUCUCCGGGUCCGUUCUAUGUAUUCUUCAAGACGGCGAAUGCGGACUGUGUUGACACCAGAGUUGGCAUCAAUCUCCAUGACCCGGUCGAUGGCUGCUCGACCUUGCUCAACAUUACGAGCUAUUCUGCGGAUAAUGACGGGCAGAGCUCGGUCAGCAGAACCACCUUCACUGACGUUGUAAAAGC